Molecule: ribosomal RNA, 465 nt
Filed under: uncultured bacterium
Lineage: Bacteria
Description: partial 16S ribosomal RNA
Rfam family: Bacterial small subunit ribosomal RNA
Source: RNAcentral
GACGAACGCUGGCGGCGUGCUUAACACAUGCAAGUCGAACGGAAAGGCCCUGCUUGCAGGGUACUCGCGUGGCGAACGGGUGAGUAACACGUGGGUGAUCUGCCCUGCACUUCGGGAUAAGCCUGGGCAACUGGGUCUAAUACCGGACAGGAGCCAUUUUUAGUGUGAUGGUUGGAAAGUUUUUUCGGUGUAGGAUGAGCUCGCGGCCUAUCAGCUUGUUGGUGGGGUAAUGGCCUACCAAGGCGGCGACGGGUAGCCGGCCUGAGAGGGUGGACGGCCACACUGGGACUGAGAUACGGCCCAGACUCCUACGGGAGGCAGCAGUGGGGAAGAUUGCACAAGGGGCGCAAGCCUGAUGCAGCGACGCCGCGUGGGGGAUGACGGCCUUCGGGUUGUAAACUCAUUUCGCUAGGGACGAAGCUUUUUGUGACGGUACCUAGAUAAGAAGCACCGGCUAACUACGUG